UUACCAGACGGGACGUCGGCGGUGUGCGGACCUGAAACCACACGCAAAGGGCAGUACCUGGUACAACCGGUGAAGGGUGAAAUAGCAGAGAUAUACUGGGGACUAUUGAUACCGGAAAAGCCGGACAAACAGGGUAUUUUGUCCCAGUACUUCAAAUGGAGGCCGUGGAUCUCCCUCCUCGAGCCGUACUUUCCUCCGCCAUACCCCCCACAUGUAACCCUAUUUUAUGAUCGGCAGGGCGAUGAGGUGUAUAGAGAGGGGUUUGGGGAUGUAGUAUGUGGGGACACGUGGCAGGUCGGGUCUAAAUUCAUAUAUGUAGGCCCUGAAGGGGUAGCGGCAGAUGUACAGUUGACAGAGGAGCAGGAACAGUGGUACAUGAUGGCGGAGGAGUCCGUCCCGUAUGUGGCACUGGCCCUGCAUCCUAAACACCAACGGGCUGCCUGCAUCCAAGCUACAAUGACGGUCCUCACCAGACUGGCAGAGAAAGGGUUGAAGGUAUCAAAAGAAAAGCUACAGCUGGUAAGGACGCAGGUCUCCUUUCUGGGCAGAGUAAUCUCGCAGAAAGGAGCGGGGCUUUCCCCAGCUCACCGCACAACCAUCCUCCACCAUCCUAAACACACUACUGUUCAGGAAAUGCUAUCAUUCCUGGGGCUCACGGGGUACAGCCGCAAUUACAUCCCAAACUAUUCAGGGCUCACAGAGCCACUUAGAGCGCUAGUUAAGGAGCAGGGAAUGCGUAAACUUAAAGCCACUCUCAAUUGGACUUGCCCGGCCGACCAGGCCUUCAUUUUACUGAAACAACAACUAGCCACCGCAGCUGAUCUGGCCGUACCCGACUAAACAAAACCUUUUUUCUAGAUGUUUCUGAAACAGGACAAGUCAUGAACGGGGUCCUGUUUCAGAAAAAAGGGGGAGAAGACCUUGAGAGAGACGAGCUAGUGAGACAUCAAAAGGGGGCUUCCCCACAAGAGAAAACAAUUUGGCAACAGAGAGGAGCAACAGAGACGAGCGGGCUCUGGAGAGGGCCAGACGGUAGAGUAAUACUUCCACCAGCCAUGCGGGGAGAUACAUUUGCUGAAGCCCAUGGGUUGGGCCAUGUAGGGCCAGCACAGAUGUUGAGGAACUUGUGCCAUUGGUGGCACCCGUUUAUGGUAGACAUGGUACGUAACGACACUAGGACAUGCACCAUCUGCACUCACCACAAUCCAAAACCGACGAUCAAACCUGAGAUGGGGGCGUUCCCCAUGACGACGAGGCCUGGACAAGAGAUAGUGAUAGAUUACACGGACAUGGGGGAAACUGUACGGGGGUGCCGUUACAUGUUAGUGUGUGUGGACAUGUUCACAGGGUGGCUAGAAGCCUGGCCAGCUAGAAGGGAGUACAGUCAGACAGUGAUCAAGUGUUUAGUGAACCAGUACAUUCCCAGACACGGCUUCCCAGAGAAAAUUAGGUCAGACAAUGGGACUCACUUUAAGAACAGUGAUUUACAGAAGGUAGAGCGCUUAUAGGGCCUAAAACAUGCUUUUGGCACUGUGUACCAUCCACAGUCCCAGGGAAAGGUAGAAAGGAUGAACCAAAACUUAAAAAACAAGUUGGCUAAGAUAUGUGCACAGACUAAAUUGAACUGGGUAGAUGCACUGCCACUGGCACUCAUGACGAUUCGAUGCUCGUUAAAUCAGACCACUGGGUUCACCCCAUACGAGCUGCUGACGGGGAGACAGUUUCCAGGACCAACCGCGGGGCCUGCAGGCCCGGAAGGGGAAAAGUGGCCCAAAGAUCACAGAGUGUAUUUUGAUGAAUUGCGAGCUCUCGUUUCAGAAUUCACCAACAGAGUCGGAGAAAGGAGGGACCUGCACCUGCUGGACCAGAACCUGCCCCAGGCGGAGUGGGUGUUGCUGAAGGUCAUCAAGCGAAAGUGGUCGGAGCCAAGGUGGACGGGUCCUCAUCAGGUGGUGGAGAGAACGAGCCAUGCGGUCCGCCUGAGGGACAAAGGAGAGACCUGGUACCAUUGGAACCAGUGUACACCAGCGCAGGAGCCAGGGAGGUCGCUGACGGACCUCAUCCAAACCGGGAAGAAGGAGCUUUCCACAGUGUGGACGGAAGGAGGACCAGCACCAGCCAGACCGGUGCCAGGAGCGGACCCCAGGACACGGCGGGACUACGAGCGAGUGAAGGAGACAAAGGACGGCGCCAGGGGAAUAGACUCUUAGGGGAAGGAACUGAGGAAUACUGUAACAAAAGGGGGUAUAGGACACCGAGUGGCUCCUACCACUCGUACCAAGAUGACAGGGUCACAGAGAAGGGCCUGGGGAGAUGAUAGUAGAAUGAAAUGAGGGCUUGCCAUGAGAGUUAUCUCUACAGCCAUUGAAAAGGCUCCAGGACCGCCACCAGGAUGCUGAUGCCUCUACUGGAGCAGCAUGACCCGGGAGAACUGGAGCUUGGCGAAUAGGGGUGAUCUCUCUGGGGAAAGAUCAAAAGGGGGAAUUGUAGAUAUAUUGAUUGUAUGUUAAGUUAGUGAACUGUUGUAAGCAAUGAAGCAAAAUAUUAAGUGUUUGUAACUUGAUUUGAAACUGAAGGUGCAAGUAGGAGAACAGGAAACCCUGUUCAAGCGGUUGCCGGGGAGAGAAAGAUUUAGUAUGUCUGUCUUUUGAGAAACAGGACACAGGUUAGAGACAUACACACAUACUCUGACAGACAAGACAGAAACCAGAAGGGGGCAAGAAGAUGUUUGCAUUUAUCCUUAUAAGGAAUAGAACUGGAAUUUGGCCAAUGGCACACUUGCUUUGCUAACUUGACGCCUCUAUCUUUUGGGCGUAGUUGAAGUAUAAAAUGCUGUUUUGACGGUUGAUCCUUAGACAUUGUGCGGCGACACUUACCUCCAAAAGCUUUUGUAAUAAACGGAAUAUGCGGUACGGUAAUUGACCUGACUCCUGGUGUUUUAUUCUCCUUUCCAACAAACCAACUCGGGGAAGUGUUGACUUCAACACUUGUAAGUAUCGGGCUGCAAUUUGAAGGGUUACCCAAAUUCAUAUUAAUUUUUCAACAACAAAAUAAUAAUGUUUCAACUUAGGAA
This is a long non-coding RNA of Esox lucius (northern pike), 3073 nucleotides long. Lineage: Eukaryota; Metazoa; Chordata; Actinopteri; Esociformes; Esocidae. The record is from Ensembl.